GAUGAACGCUGGCGGUAUGCCUAACACAUGCAAGUCGUACGAGAGUUUUUAACUCUAGUGGCGGACGGGUGAGUAACACGUGAGAAUUUGCCUUUAGGAGGGGGAUAACAAUUGGAAACGAAUGCUAAUACCCCAUAUGCUUUUGAGUGAAAUGGAUUUUAUCCGCCUAGAGAGAAGCUCGCGGCUGAUUAGCUUGUUGGUAAGGUAAGAGCUUACCAAGGCGACGAUCAGUAUCUGGUUUGAGAGGACGAUCAGACACACUGGAACUGAGACACGGUCCAGACUCCUACGGGAGGCAGCAGUGGGGAAUUUUCCGCAAUGGGCGAAAGCCUGACGGAGCAAUACCGCGUGAGGGAAGACUGCCUAUGGGUUGUAAACCUCUUUUUUCAGGGUAGGAAUAAAUGACGUGUACCUGAAGAAUAAGCAUCGGCUAACUCCGUG
RNAcentral lists this ribosomal RNA (441 nucleotides) under uncultured bacterium. Its description in RNAcentral is "bacterial SSU rRNA". It matches the Rfam family "Bacterial small subunit ribosomal RNA", at positions 28 to 507 of the family's 1533-position model. The record is from RNAcentral.